Molecule: long non-coding RNA, 505 nt
Filed under: Physcomitrium patens
Lineage: Eukaryota; Viridiplantae; Streptophyta; Bryopsida; Funariales; Funariaceae
Description: long non-coding RNA (PPAT_LNC010759)
Source: RNAcentral
UAUGGCUCCAACCAUUACUAUAAACAAAACCACUUACUUACUAUCUUUGAUUUGGAAGUGUCACCUUCAAUUCCUUAUAAUUCCUUCACAUAAACUCUAAAAGUAAUAAUUCUUUUAUAAAAAAUGUAGGAUUUAAAAUCGCCGUUCCAUUCACACCUUUCAAUCUUCAAAAGCUAUUCUACAACUCCUCGUAUCUUCAAAAGAGUAAUGGUAUAUCUUAAAUUAAUACCUUAACUUCAAAUAGCUAUAACGUCUUCACCCUAACUCCAAAUCUUCUAAUUUUUAUACACAAAUUGUAUUCCAAAUCCUAAGCUUUACAAACCUAGCUUUUAAUCUCUCAAUACUUUCUUUGAAGUCACCAAAACCUUUGUUAAGGUCGCGGGCAGCCUUCUUAAAGCCCAUUGGGCAUGGUAUUCGACCAAUAGGAAUGAAGUUCUCUAUUCCUUGCCUUCAUUUGACCAUGCCUUGCUUUCAUCUCUCCCAAUUAGCCUCCUACUAUUUUCAU